AAGAAUGGUGAUAGGAUUGCCAUGCGUGCCAUUUCUGCCAACAAAGCUUUCAGUCUGUCACAAAUCUGUCAACUGCGUGAACACGAGCAUAAAUUCUGUAAGAAUAUUUAAGCUGACAGAGAUAACUGAGUUAUCUGUUGCAUAUCUAGUUCUCGUUCAUGCAAAAGUACAAGCACCACUGCACCUGUGGCACUUCUCCAUAGUUACAUACAAAACCAAUUCAUAAAAUUCUCAAAAAUCAUGGAAAUCAGUUGAUGAAUCUUGUCAAUCCAAAGAAAACCAUGAACCGAUACAGAGCAAGUGAAGAACUUCAAAAGUACUUCUUAGUACAAACCAUGAGUUCCUGCAUUCUUGACAUUACCAGAUGAUAAUUUAAAAAUAAAGAAUAUCAAAUCAAAGAAUAUGAAAAAUGUGACAGUCAGUCUAAAAGCAGAGAUCCUUGUGUUUUGUCAAGACAUGAGCUGUCUCCAUCCCACCUGAUAGCUCUCUUCUACAUAUGUCAGUCUAUUAGGUAUAUCCACAUCCACACAACUUUAAAUUUGCCAUAAAUCUCAUUAACUCAAAUUUCACUAGAGAAGUGAAAAUAGUAACAUACAUAGAAGGUAUAUGAGAUCUUUGAAAGAACAUAUAAGGCAUAUGAGAAAAAAAAAAAAAAAGCGAUAAAGAAAAUACAGUUAGCUCAAGACAAGCACAAAAGAUGCAGAAACAUCAGUUUCAGACAUGAAGCUUUCAUCUUGCAAAAUCAAAUCCAUAACAAAUGUACCUUGCGCAUACUUAUACAAAAAGGAAAACAAGAUCUAGCAGUGAAUAUAUACUCCUAACACUUACGAAAUAGAACUUAAUAAAACUCACGGCCAGAAGUAAAUUUAUAUGAAGCAACCCGAGGGCUUUGUUGUUCCUAACUAUGAACAAUGUGUUUAUAGUUUGUGUCAUACCAUACUUUUACCUAAGGUCAAAACAAGUACGACAUUAUAGACUCAAAAAGAAUUGAUUUUUUAUAAAGUUGCUACCUAAUUUUUAAGGAAAAAAUAGAAAACCUACUUAUUUAUUAAUAAGUAUGAUUUUUAUUUCAAUGUGCGAACCAAUUUAAAUUAUAGGUAAGGGUUUAAAUUAUUCGGAAGAGAAGAAUUAGGCACCUUCAGAAUCCACAAAUGUUAUUUCUGAUCAGACUUAGUUUUAUUAAAAGAGAAAAAAAAGAAAAAAUCAAUGUUUGUAAAUAUAAAUAUAAAAAAUGUAUUGAAAUAAUACAAUGCGUAUGUUGUCGUAUAUAUAAAUAAAAGUAUAUAUGCAUAUGUAUGUAAAGAAAAGACAAGAUUGAAUAAAGAAAAACUGCUUUAAAGAAAAGACUACGUAAUAAUUUAGUGUAAAAAGUGUGAAUUAUUUGAUAAAAUAUCUAAAUCAAUUUUAAUAUAAAUAUUAACGGCCUAAAAUUGUCUAACACGUAGUGAGGGUUGCGUAAAUAAAGAACAUCCCGCCCAACACCCCAAAAAUAAAGACUUCACUAUAAUUAAAAUUUGUACAAGUGUAAAAGUAUAAAAAUAUAAACAUAAAAAUUAAAGCCUUCUUUGAAUGUCAUUUCCGACGAGUAUUCCCAAUAACCUGUAUAAACACUUGUAAAUAAAAUGUUAGUAACAAAUAAAUAAUUAUCAAAAUAAAUUGAAAAGAUAUAUGUGCAUAUAUAUAUAAAAGAUAUAAUUUUUCGUUAAAAGAGUGGACUCAGAUAAAAUUUUUAAAAAUUAUAAAGAUUUCAUCAUUAACCAAAAUAUUUAUUUUAUUAUGUAUUUAUGUAUAUAAUAUCCAUCUUUUUAUAUGUGGAAGCCUCGAAAAUUAACGAAAAAUUUCUUCAUUGACCAAUUAAAUAGAAACUUGAAUAAAGAUAAUUGAAACUGAAAAAUAAUUAAACUAGAAAUAUAGUUAAACGUAACAAUAACAUUUGUCUCUUAUAACGUAGAGGCCUCAAACAUAGAUAUUUUAUCUUCAGUUAAAUAUUGAUGAUUAAAGUCGUCAUCAGUGUAAAAGUGAUCAAAAUCACCACUAACAAAAGCUAUCAACAACAUGAAAAUAAAAUUCAAGAUAAAGCAGCAACACAAAGCAACGAGAUAAUAAAACAAAUAACAAAAAGACAAAACAACAUCCAUGUCAAGUAAUAUGUAAAUAAUAAAGCAGCAACACAAAGCAACAAGUAACAAAAGAUAAAAAACAUCAACAUGAUAGCAGUAAAUAAUCAAAGUUAAAAGAAAGCCAUUACUGGAAGCAAAAGUAUGUGUCCGAAAAACCCCAAUAAUUGUUGGGAGACAACAAAAUAAUUAAAAAUGUGAUAAUAAUAUCAUAAUUACUAAUGAUGAGACUGAUAAAAGAACAAUAUUUGAGAGCAACAUUAGACAAAAAAUCAAAUGAAAAGAAAUGGAAUGUCACCAGAUAAAAAUGUAUGCAUAAAAUUAACAUCAAAUAAGCAAGAUAAAAGAAAAUACCCACAAUAACCUUGAAGCAACAAUAGGAAAAAAAAAACUCGUUCGAGCAGUGAAUGUCGCCGGAGUUUCAUCGUUGUUGAGUUGGUUGCUGGCUCCGGUCAGAUCUGGACUUCGCCGAAGCUUGGAGCUCCGACUUGGUUCAUCAUCGCCGGUGACGGGAGAGAGGGAAAAGGAAGGGCGGCGCAGUGAUGGUGCGGUCGAAUCUCGCCGGUGAAGGAGAUGGUGGUGCGGGAGGCGGUGUCCGUUGGUUUUCUCCGGCGGGAAGAUGGAGGAAAGACCUCAUCGGCGUGGGCUCGCCGGCGGUCACUGAUGGUGCGUCGGGCGGUGGCAGAUGGGGACGAAAAGAAAAAAAGUCACUGAUUUGGACAAAUUAAUUAAGAGUGAUAAAAAAGUUUCACAAAUGACACAAAUUUUAAAUAUUGAUUCGAGGAAUAAUUUUAAGAUUAAUGUUAAUGACACUAAUUUUAAAAGCUCUUAAAUUUUAUUAUUUAUACGAAGAACCUUUGCACUAUAUUCACACAAAGAUUUCUAUACUAUCAUCAUCACUCCUUUUCCAUGUGC
RNAcentral lists this long non-coding RNA (3032 nucleotides) under Capsicum annuum. RNAcentral's name for it is "long non-coding RNA (CANN_LNC011951)". The record is from RNAcentral. Lineage: Eukaryota; Viridiplantae; Streptophyta; Magnoliopsida; Solanales; Solanaceae.